UACGUAGGGCGCAAGCGUUUGUCCGGAAUUAUUGGGCGUAAAGAGCUCGUAGGCGGCUUGUCACGUCGGGUGUGAAAGCCCGGGGCUUAACCCCGGGUCUGCAUUCGAUACGGGCUGGCUGGAGUGUGGUAGGGGAGAUCGGAAUUCCUGGUGUAGCGGUGAAAUGCGCAGAUAUCAGGAGGAACACCGGUGGCGAAGGCGGAUCUCUGGGCCAUUACUGACGCUGAGGAGCGAAAGCGUGGGGAGCGAACAGG
RNAcentral lists this ribosomal RNA (254 nucleotides) under uncultured bacterium. RNAcentral describes it as "partial 16S ribosomal RNA". It matches the Rfam family "Bacterial small subunit ribosomal RNA", at positions 524 to 776 of the family's 1533-position model. The record is from RNAcentral.